GCUUGUCUCAAAGAUUAAGCCAUGCAUGUCUAAGUUUAAAUAGAAAACAGUGAAACUGCGAAUGGCUCAUUAAAUAAUUUUGCAUAUACAAGAUAGUCAACUCUACUUGGAUAACCGUAGUAAUUCUAGAGCUAAUACAUGCGCCCAGACCCAACUUUUAGGAAGGGUUGUAUUUAUUAGGUACAGAACCAAUGCAAGCUCCGCUUGACCUUUUGGUGAUUCAUGGUAACCGAACGAAUCGCACGGCACCAGCUGGCGAUGGACCAUUUCAGUUUCUGACCUAUCAGCUUCCGACGGUAGGAUAUGGGCCUACCGUGGCAAUGACGGGUAACGGAGAAUUAGGGUUCGAUUCCGGAGAGGGAGCCUGAGAAACGGCUACCACAUCUAAGGAAGGCAGCAGG
RNAcentral lists this ribosomal RNA (401 nucleotides) under uncultured Gymnodinium. Its description in RNAcentral is "partial small subunit ribosomal RNA". It matches the Rfam family "Eukaryotic small subunit ribosomal RNA", at positions 30 to 432 of the family's 1831-position model. The record is from RNAcentral. Lineage: Eukaryota; Dinophyceae; Gymnodiniales.